Molecule: microRNA precursor, 64 nt
Filed under: Canis lupus familiaris (dog)
Lineage: Eukaryota; Metazoa; Chordata; Mammalia; Carnivora; Canidae
Description: miRNA (ENSCAFG00000054697.1)
Source: RNAcentral
CGGGGCUGGCGAUUGGUCCAGAUGCGUGGUGCCACCGGCCGCCGGCUCCGCCCCGACUCCCGCC